RNAcentral lists this ribosomal RNA (253 nucleotides) under uncultured bacterium. RNAcentral describes it as "partial 16S ribosomal RNA". It matches the Rfam family "Bacterial small subunit ribosomal RNA", at positions 524 to 776 of the family's 1533-position model. The record is from RNAcentral.
UACGGAGGGUGCAAGCGUUCUCCGGAUUCACUGGGUUUAAAGGGUGCGUAGGUGGGCAGGUAAGUCAGUGGUGAAAUCUUUGGGCUUAACCCGAAAACUGCCAUUGAUACUAUUCGUCUUGAAUAUUGUGGAGGUCAGCGGAAUAUGUCAUGUAGCGGUGAAAUGCUUAGAUAUGACAUAGAACACCAAUUGCGAAGGCAGCUGGCUACACAUAUAUUGACACUGAUGCACGAAAGCGUGGGGAUCAAACAGG